This 287-nucleotide unclassified non-coding RNA is filed under the name root metagenome. RNAcentral's name for it is "partial contains small subunit ribosomal RNA, internal transcribed spacer 1, and 5.8S ribosomal RNA". The record is from RNAcentral.
UUUCCGUAGGUGAACCUGCGGAAGGAUCAUUGUCGUGACCCUGACCAAAACAGACCGCGCACGCGUCAUCCAAUCCGUCGGCGACGGCACCGUCCGUCGCUCGGCCAAUGCCUCGACCACCUCCCCUCCUUGGAGUGGGUGGGGGCUCGGGGUAAAAGAACCCACGGCGCCGAAGGCGUCAAGGAACACUGUGCCUAACCCGGGGGCAUGGCUAGCUUGCUAGCCAUCCCUCGUGUUGCAAAGCUAUUUAAUCCACACGACUCUCGGCAACGGAUAUCUCGGCUCUC